This 26-nucleotide non-coding RNA is filed under the name Rattus norvegicus (Norway rat). Lineage: Eukaryota; Metazoa; Chordata; Mammalia; Rodentia; Muridae. The record is from RNAcentral.
UGAGCACAUUUAGUUUUCUGGUCAGG